UACGUAGGGGGCGAGCGUUGUCCGGAAUGAUUGGGCGUAAAGGGCGCGUAGGCGGCCGUGUAAGUCUGGAGUGAAAGUCCUGCUUUUAAGGUGGGAAUUGCUUUGGAUACUGCAAGGCUUGAGUGCAGGAGAGGUAAGUGGAAUUCCCAGUGUAGCGGUGAAAUGCGUAGAGAUCGGGAGGAACACCAGUGGCGAAGGCGACUUACUGGACUGUAACUGACGCUGAGGCUCGAAAGUGCGGGUAUCAAAC
This 250-nucleotide ribosomal RNA is filed under the name uncultured prokaryote. Its description in RNAcentral is "partial 16S ribosomal RNA". It matches the Rfam family "Bacterial small subunit ribosomal RNA", at positions 524 to 773 of the family's 1533-position model. The record is from RNAcentral.